AAUCGAAUCAUUUCAAGAUCAGCUGAACAGUGCUUGCCCUUCUUCUAAGUUCUGAAGAAAUUGAAGAAUUUUUAGUGAUUCGAGGAAUACCAAAAGGCUUUCGCCGACCUUAACAGCUACCUUAGCUCCACUCCACUACUCGAUAAGUCUGACCCUGAUGAAGAAUUAUAUUUGUAUCUUGCAGUUUAGCUUGUUGCUAUGAGUGCAAUGCUAGCCA
RNAcentral lists this long non-coding RNA (217 nucleotides) under Elaeis guineensis (African oil palm). RNAcentral describes it as "long non-coding RNA (EGUI_LNC039893)". Lineage: Eukaryota; Viridiplantae; Streptophyta; Magnoliopsida; Arecales; Arecaceae. The record is from RNAcentral.